GAUGUACAAGCGGUUGUUGUCGAGAGAUUAAAUGAAUACCGCUAAUAUGGAAUCAAAAGAGUGUAGAUAUUGUUGAUGUGGAAGACAACUCAGAAUUCUUCCCCCUUGCAUUUGUAAUAGUAGAUUCAAAAAUCAUGUGAAUCUAGAUAUGAAGCCUCCAUUGACCAAAAGAUCAUUCGGCCAACUAAGAAAUGUUGAAAUGAAGUCUCGUGGUGAAGGUGACAAAAUUAUGUUGGGCUCAAACAUUAUGCCUAUAGGUUUAGAGCGUCACCAUUGAAAAAUGAUAGUAGCAUUACAACAUUGACGGUAACUUUAUACAAUUAUUGUAAUAGAUUUUCACAACUAUGGUAGUGGC
This 355-nucleotide long non-coding RNA is filed under the name Rosa chinensis. Its description in RNAcentral is "sRNA RchiOBHm_Chr1g0317631". Lineage: Eukaryota; Viridiplantae; Streptophyta; Magnoliopsida; Rosales; Rosaceae. The record is from RNAcentral.